RNAcentral lists this ribosomal RNA (465 nucleotides) under uncultured bacterium. RNAcentral's name for it is "partial 16S ribosomal RNA". It matches the Rfam family "Bacterial small subunit ribosomal RNA", at positions 28 to 507 of the family's 1533-position model. The record is from RNAcentral.
GAUGAACGCUGGCGGCGUGCUUAACACAUGCAGGUCGAACGGAAAGGCUCCUGCUUGCAGGGGUACUCGAGUGGCGAACGGGUGAGUAACACGUGGGUGAUCUGCCCUGCACUUCGGGAUAAGCCUGGGAAACUGGGUCUAAUACCGGAUAGGACGAUGGUUUGGAUGCCAUUGUGGAAAGUUUUUCGGUGUGGGAUGAGCUCGCGGCCUAUCAGCUUGUUGGUGGGGUAAUGGCCUACCAAGGCGUCGACGGGUAGCCGGCCUGAGAGGGUGUACGGCCACAUUGGGACUGAGAUACGGCCCAGACUCCUACGGGAGGCAGCAGUGGGGAAUAUUGCACAAUGGGCGCAAGCCUGAUGCAGCGACGCCGCGUGGGGGAUGACGGCCUUCGGGUUGUAAACUCCUUUCGCUAGGGACGAAGCGCAAGUGACGGUACCUGGAGAAGAAGCACCGGCUAACUACGUG